This 375-nucleotide ribosomal RNA is filed under the name uncultured soil bacterium. RNAcentral's name for it is "bacterial SSU rRNA". It matches the Rfam family "Bacterial small subunit ribosomal RNA", at positions 26 to 407 of the family's 1533-position model. The record is from RNAcentral.
AGGACGAACGCUGGCGGCGUGCUUAACACAUGCAAGUCGAGCGGUAAGGCCUUUCGGGGUACACGAGCGGCGAACGGGUGAGUAACACGUGGGUGAUCUGCCCUGCACUCUGGGAUAAGCCUGGGAAACUGGGUCUAAUACCGGAUAUGACCUGCUCUCGCAUGGGGGUGGGUGGAAAGAUUUAUCGGUGCAGGGAUGGGCCCGCGGCCUAGUCAGCUUGGUUGGUGGGGUAAUGGCCUACCAAGGCGACGACGGGUAGCCGACCUGAGAGGUGACCGCCACACUGGGACUGAGACACGGCCCAGACUCCUACGGGAGGCAGCAGUGGGAAUAUGCACAAGUGGACGAAGCUGAUGCAGCGACGCCGCGUGAGGA